GAUGGUUGGCAUCUCCUCUGACAGAGACGGGAUUUGACCUUCGGGUCUUUGAACACAUCCGGUUAAGGCUCUUCACAUUCGUGUGGAUCUAACCCAAUUUUUUU
This 104-nucleotide non-coding RNA is filed under the name Arabidopsis halleri subsp. gemmifera. The record is from RNAcentral. Lineage: Eukaryota; Viridiplantae; Streptophyta; Magnoliopsida; Brassicales; Brassicaceae.